RNAcentral lists this ribosomal RNA (422 nucleotides) under uncultured bacterium. Its description in RNAcentral is "partial 16S ribosomal RNA". It matches the Rfam family "Bacterial small subunit ribosomal RNA", at positions 360 to 774 of the family's 1533-position model. The record is from RNAcentral.
AAUUUUGGACAAUGGGGGGAACCCUGAUCCAGCCAUUCCGCGUGUGCGAUGAAGGCCUUCGGGUUGUAAAGCACUUUUGGCAGGACAGAAAUCGCACGGACUAAUACUCUGUGUGGCUGACGGUACCUGGAGAAUAAGCACCGGCUAACUACGGUCUAGCAGCCGCCGAAAUACGUAGGGUGCAAGCGUUAACCGGAAUUACUGGGCGUAAAGCGGGCGCAGGCGGUUCGGAAAUAAGGAUGUGAAAUCCCAGGGCUCAACCUUGGAACUGCAUUCUUAACUACCGGGCUAGAGUGUGUCAGAGGGAGGUGGAAUUCCGCGUGUAGAAGUGAAAUACGUAGAUAUGCGGAGGAACACCGAUGGCGAAGGCAGCCUCCUGGGAUAACACUGACGCUCAGGCACGAAAGCGUGGAGAGCAAACA